Molecule: small nuclear RNA, 141 nt
Filed under: Saimiri boliviensis boliviensis (Bolivian squirrel monkey)
Lineage: Eukaryota; Metazoa; Chordata; Mammalia; Primates; Cebidae
Description: U4 spliceosomal RNA (ENSSBOG00000016287.1)
Rfam family: U4 spliceosomal RNA
About the family: U4 small nuclear RNA (U4 snRNA) is a component of the major U2-dependent spliceosome.
Source: Rfam by way of RNAcentral
AGCUUUGUGCAGUGGCAGUAUUGUAGCCAAUGAGGUUUAUCUGAGGCGCGAUUAUUGGUAAUUGAAAAUUUUUCCCAAUACCCUGCCGUGACGACUUGAAAUAUAAUCGGCAUUGGCAAUUUUUGGCAGUCUCUAUGGAGA